Non-coding RNA from Misgurnus anguillicaudatus (oriental weatherfish), 688 nucleotides. The record is from RefSeq and is a predicted model, not a curated record. NCBI's taxonomy places the organism in Eukaryota, Metazoa, Chordata, Actinopteri, Cypriniformes, Cobitidae.
ACCAUUAUUGUAUCUCCUGAAAAAUGUGGAGAUAACUGCUUCUUUCUUGCAAGAGCUCAGAUUAAAUUUAAUCUCACUUUAAUGCUUUUUUAUGUAUUUUACAGGAAGUUUGAAAAAAAUGCCCUAACGAAUACAACAACAAGAAGAGAGGCAGAGAAGGCAGUGUCCAAGUGGCUAAUCGGUGCCAGGGACAGGGGAGGUUAUCGCACUGCCAGGGCACGAGUUGGACAACAAGAUGGGGCCGUUGGUACAGUGACAACAGAGGAGUGAGGAGCUGCCCUAAUGUUGUUUUGUUUGUAUUGUUUUUAUGCAGUUAAUUAGUUGAAGUUGAUUAAACUUUUUAAAGAGUUAAUUAAAGGGUUGCUCCACAAAAAAAGAAAAAAUUGUCAUAAAUUACUUUUCCUCAUGUCGUUCCACACCUGCAAGACCUUUGUUCAUCUUCAAAACACAAAUUAAGAUAUUUUUUAUGAGAUCAGUGAGCUUAAUUUGUGUUCUGAAGAUGAUUGAAGCUCUUAUGGGUUUGAAACGACAUGAGGGUGAGUAAUUAAUGACAAAAACAUUUUUUUAGGAUGAACCCUGUAAGUUUAACUUUUCUUUUUUUCAUUUUUAAUGUUGUGUUUUAUAAAGUUUUAAAUGUAAUUUUAAGUCAAGAUCAAAUUGUUAAUAAAUUGUAAAAGUAAAGCAUGAA